Molecule: long non-coding RNA, 8007 nt
Organism: Hemibagrus wyckioides
Lineage: Eukaryota; Metazoa; Chordata; Actinopteri; Siluriformes; Bagridae
Exons: 4
Source: RefSeq, a predicted model, not a curated record
GUAUGUGUUGGUAAGCUUAGCAAAGCAGCCGAUUUCAUUGUUCUUCUCAAAGGAUGUUCUGACGGCCAUUUUGAUACAGUACUGCCAAAGAUGGGAUAACUCUGACCAGAAACUGUGGAAGAGGGCAGAUGUUAAGUGAGACUGCCAUGAUGACGCGGGAUAUGCGUUCGCGACUGGCAACCCUGCCUACGCAGACCGCUGUGGAUGAUGGGAUACGUUCCUGUUUCGCUGUGUUUACCAAGUCUUUGAUUAGCUCACCACCUGUUCAACUGACGUCACUGCAGCAGCGACACGUUUUCUGCCUGGAAACACUGCAAGCUACUCGGAGAGGGUUAAGAAUCAUGGAUUCAGGUUCAGGUUCCAGUUCCUCAGAUCACAACCAGAGGAAUCAAAGUGAAAAGAAUCAAAGCUGUCCAUCAGCCCAAGGAAAGGAAGCGCCAGUCACACAGGAUCUUAAAACCGAACACAGGACUGAUUCACUGGAAUCAGUGCCUGAACUUCCUCAGCGCAAAAUGGGUAACAAGAAGGUAGACGACAUGAGCUUCAUGAUAUCGUGUACGAACUGGUAUUAGGGGCAUGUGAUAUGUGAUCACUUCUCUGAGUGCCAAAUCAGUAAAGUAAAGAAAAUGGAUGAUCUUGUGGCAUAUGUAGCAUUUAUAAACAUGUUUCUUGUUAAUAAGCCUGAGUUUGAUGGGUCUGUUUGAAGUUGACAGCUUAAAGGGAAAAUCCAUCUUGAACAACUUGCAUAUUAACCUUUAGAAUGAAUGGCUUUUCAUUUAUAAGGAUUAACUAAUAUAAUAUAGUUCUUAAUUGAUUUUUUUUCAUUGACCUGUUGGUAUAUACAAUUCACUUUGACUACAUUACCCUCAUUGCCAUUUGACUGAAACUGCUGAUAGUGAUGCCAGUGAGAUCUACUUAAAGAGCAGCGUUUUAGUUUUUUAGACUGUCCAGCUGUCUCUCAAACAGUUAAGGCUCCAAAACUUUAAAUACAAUGCUAAUUACAUUGUCAACACCAUUGUGUAUGAAUGUUAAGCUUUUGUACCUGUGUCAGCAAUUGCUCUUUGUGAUGUCAGCGUGGUACACAACCACUAAAUUCUCACCAGAAUAUGAAAAAAUGCAUUGACUGAAACUAAACAUUUAAAGAAUGGAAGAUCAGAUGUUGCUUUUCCAAUCUUUGAGUCAUUUUAGUGAGUUUAUUCUCAUUGAAGCCUCAGAUUCUUGUUUGACAGGAAAGGUCCAUGAUGUAGCCUAUUAACCCCAAGGUUUGAUGUGUUUUGUGUUCUGAGAUGUUCUGCUCACCAUGAUUGUACGGAAUGCUUAUUUGAGUUACAUGGUUGUUAUAGUAAAUAAUUUGCAUGAUUUUCUGGAUUGCGCUGCUCCCAUGUGUUCCUAUUAAUGUGGCUGGUGAGUGUUUUUUUUUAAUGUGUUUCAGAGUGGAACUUCAGAAUUUUAGGCCACACAAAGCUUAUUUUAGUUGACUCCUGGUGAGUGGUACAGCAUGCAGCUAUAAUUAUACAAAGGCAAGAACAUGCACUCUCAUAUGCAAACACUUCUACUGUGCAUGCUAAAUGUUCCAUAUUAUAAUAUGUUUUUUAUAUAUAUAUAUAAACUGAAUUUUAUAUAUAUAUAUAUUUAUAAUUAUAAAUAUAUAACUUUGUUAAACCUGAAUUGUACUAUUGCAUACUGUUGCACAUUUAAUAUAUGUUACCCACUGCAGUUUUAACCAAUAAAGUGAGCUAAUAUAAAGGACUACAUAACCACAUGUAAAUACACACACACACACACACAAAAAAUCACAUUUCCAAUAAGCAAGUAUUCAAUAACAGAUAGUUUUUGCUUUUAUUGAAAUUUUGUUGUUAAUAGGACAUGGCAAUGAUUUUUUAGGUACAUCUUGUAGAACUUAAAAUCAAACAAAAACAGUUAAAUCCCCAUGGAGCUAAAAAGGCAAACUUCUGCAAAUAAAGCUUAAAUAUUGUUAGAUCAAGAUUAUGUAAAAAUGACUGCCAUUGUUAGGAAUGGCAUCACUGUAUAUGAUGUGUAAAAUAUUAUAUGCAACUCUUAAAGAGUGAAAGAAAAAAAAAUACAAAAGUCCUCUAUUAACUGUUGUAUUUACAUGAUCCAUGCGUGAGGCUGAGCAACAUUUGACCCGGGAAAUUAGACAAUAUCAAAAGGUCUGUUGUUUUGUCGAAAUAACUGUUCCCUUCAUAAAUUCAUUCAAAUUAAGCAAAGAUAUAUGUACAUUAAAUACACUGAAACUUUCAAAAAAAUCAAACAAAUAACUUUAAAGCUUUAGAUAAAAUUUCAGUUGUAAUCAAUCCUCUGUAGACAAAGAACAUAAAUCAAUUUGUGUAAAGUUCUAAACAAGCUCUGAUAUGUUUGUUUGCCCUAUUUCUUUAUUGUUAGUCUGUUAAAAGGAGUACAGAAACCAAAGGCAACAGCAGGUAGAGGUUAAGAGUGGCUGUCAUCCAGUGCCACCAUCACACCAUAAAAUGAGGCAUUAUCAGCAGAGAAUAUUCAUAUUCCCAUUUUUCUUUGUAUAUUUUUAUUUCCCAGAACAAACCUGUACUGGCAUGGCUUCACCUUUAAUUAAAUCAAAAUUUUCCUAUAGAAAUUAAAUAUCUUUUUUUUUUUUUUCUUUUUUUAAUUCCUUUAAAAAUUAUGUAUUAUGUAUGUCUCCUGGUCAUGAUUUGAAUCUCCAGUGGCAUGUCCAGAUCACUUUUAGCAGCAGGCCCAAGAGUAGCACAGAAAAGGAAUAAGUGGCAUCAAUGAAUACUGAAACCUGGUCAUGAUUCCAGUGAUCAGGAUCCCUGCGGUCAAUCAGUCAUUUGUAAAAUAAUUGACAAAUUUAGAGGGUAAAUAUUUCACACAGAGGAUUAUCACAAAAAAACCCCUCUUUUGUGUCCUUAUCACAAUAAAAUCCUCUACAAACAAGGAGAAAACAUGUCAAACAUGAAUGUUACAAUUCAUUUUAACUGAAUGUUAAAAGACUUUAAAAUUCACCAAAUGUGACCAUGAAGAUGAUCCUGCUAAAUAUGCACUUAAUUAAAUGUACAUUAAAUUAGAUUUAGUUUUAGACAAGUGGUCAUUUAGCUUUAAUUAAUUAAAUUACAGCAAAGUUAUAUGUGAUUUUUUUUAACCAUUUAUAGUUAGAUUUAUUGUUCUGGGAGACAUUAGUUUCAAUUAUUACUUACGUUUAUAACAAAUAUAAACAGUUCCUUUAUCACCCUCUCCUUUUCUUUCUUCCUUGAAUUAAUAUUGAAUUAAUAUGUUAAUGUCCUUGAAUUAAUAUUGAAUUAAUAUGUUAAUAAGACAAAAAAGUCCUGAACCCUCUCCCAUGGAGGGAUGAUUACUAACUGCUUCAAAGGUGGACACAGCCUCCUUCCAAAAAUGUUAAAUAAUUUCACUAUGUCAACAAUUAUAUGUUUUCCUUUUACAAUACAUUCACUGUUGGUGUUAAAUUAUGUAGAGAAUCUUCCAUGCAAGUUCCUUUGAAAAAAUAUGUAAUGAUAUGGAAACAAUAACAUAUUAAUGUAUUAAUAUAAAUCUGUGAUUUGAAUUCUAGAUAAUUAUUCACAAACUUUUGACAAAUAAGGAUUGAGUAUAGCACUGUGUGCUGUGUAACGUCAUUAUACCUAUUCUAAUAUUCCAUCCUGCCCAUUUUUCCUCAAAGGUCCAUACAAAUCUUUUCCUGUUAAUCAAAACAAUAUCACCUAAAGACAUCAUAGUAAUGGCUUACUGGUAUUCCUCCAUAAUUGGACAUUAAACAGUUCUCCUCUUGAGUUAUUCUAUACAUAAAUUUGUCUUUUUAUUCAUUCACUUUAAAUAUUUGUUAACCACAGUUUGUUAACAUGGAUUUCGAGAAUUAUAUUUAAAGUCAUAUUUUUCAUAUAUUUAAAUCAUUAUUUGAGGCAGUUCUCUUUUUGGGUUCUAUUUUAUUACAAAUCUGUGUGUGAAAUAACUCAAAAUUCAUUACUCCAUGCCUGCCUGUAUUUCAUUAACACAUGGGUAGAGGGUCAUUAUGUAAAUAAAAAAAUAAAAAAAAAAGGACAGAUAUUUGUAUAUUAGGAUUCAUUUAUAAAAGCAAGUGUCAUCCAAACGGUAUUAUUUGUGUGUCUUGGUUGUCCUAAUUAUCAUAAUGGAAUGACAUUUGACCCUCUUCAAUCAGAAAAUGUAAUGGUCCCACCAUCCCUCAGGGUACAAGGUAGGCAUGCCUCAAGACUCUUCUCUGUUCUGGCACCUUGGUGGUGGCAUGAAAGUCCCCUAGAUCUCUGAACAGCUGAACAGUCUUCAAACGACAGGUGAAGACCUACCUCUUCCUGAUAUACUUAAAACUAGCACAUUUUUUUGCUUGUUUAUUAAAAACAAAACAAAACAAAAAAAUGUUUCUGUGUGCUAUAUUACCACCAUCCUUAGUCUGAGACCUAGUGAACCAGUGUCGAUGUAUUCAUUGAUGAAACUUCAAAGCACUUUUGUAUGUAACUCUGGAUAAGGGCAUCUGCCAAAUGCUGUAAAUGUAAAUGAAUAGAAUAUUGAAACAGUUAUGUUUUUAAUUCAUGACCCUCUGAUAAUCACCUGCACCAAUCCAAGGGAUUUAUUCAUGAAUGAAUAUACAAAGUACCUGGAGGUUUCAUUUAAAAAAAAAAGUUUUAAACAUUUAAACACACUUCUGUGCUACAACUCAACCCAAUCUGCCUAUUGUCUUUUCAUUCUUUACACCCAAAGCCAGUUUAUCAGACCAUUCAAAGUGGAGGAAGACAGUCAGUACAGUGUGUUCCAUUUAAAUUAAUCCUGCCUAGGAUUUCAUUAACCCAUAAUAUAGAACACCUCCUUGCCACAUUGCAGACUGGCACUGCCAGGUGCUUGAACUUUCAUCUGCAGGCCAAUAAUGUGGAAUCUGCAUCAUGCAGAACCAGCGUUUACUGAAUUUGUGCCAUUAUGCCAUCUUCCCAAAGACAAGCUCUGAAUCUAAAUUUAAAAGCAGUAAAGUAUGUGAUGGAGAGAUGGACAUCUACCAAGAGGAGAAAGGGCAAAUGUUUUGGUAAUCAUGCUCAUUUACAUUAAGUGAUGCACAAUAAAUUAUAAUUUAAAAUUGUAUCCUUGUAAUUCAUUUGAACUAACUAGGCCAUGGCAAAAUUUAAGACGAGGCACAAAAAGAACGCCUAAGGCAGACAAACAAACAAAAAGAUUGUCAAUGGUGAAAAGAUGUUUGGAAGACAAAAACAUUUUUCCCCCAGAUAUAUCUAAUGCUAGCAGAAUGUGUAGUAUACCCAAACCCAAAACAGAACAAUUUACAUUUACUCAUUCACCAGAUGCUUUUACUUAAAGUCAGUUACAAGUAAGGCAGAUUCUAUUCUAAGCACAUAGCUGAGCAGGCGAGGGUUAAAAACCUUGCUUUUUUACUUGUGCUUUGGGACCUGUACUUACUGUACACGCUUCCACUCAGUGUAACCUAUACUGUCCAGCUACCACAGCCAUUUACAACAGACCUUAGACUUUGAGAGAACAUUCAUAUGAACUAACAUUCAUAAGAUGUACAACAACCUUCCUGUGCCCAAUUCCAAUGUGGUUCCAGUCCAUUAAGUGUGGACGCAUGAAAAACAGCAUACAACAUAAUGUGUGUCUAGCUGUAACUAGACACAACAUAGAACCUGGGUGGCAAACUGUACUGAAAAAUAGACAAAUCUAAAGCAUGUGCAGAUCCAUGCCUCACUGAACUGUAAAUUGAGCAUUUUAAUGAUUUUUGUGGGAGUGGCAUAACAGUAGAGCAUUCAAAGAAAGGCCAGGAGUCAAAAUGGUAUAACUUUUUCAUGUCGAUCAGUGACACUACCCAGGAGUGGCUAUUAAAAAAGUAGAACAGGACAGUUAGCACUUUACUCCAGCUGAUAGCAUUCUCCUCCAAGUGUGAUCUGAGUGUCUUCAGAUGCCCUCUGACAUAGCACAAGUAGCAGUUUGAAAGAUGUCUUUUGGAGGACAUGUACUAUCCCUAACCUUCCCUAGUUGGUAGCCUUUGUGUGAUACUUGAGAAAUAGCUAGUUGAUAAGAAUUGGUAAUGAUAAAAUUGUUAAAAAUAGCUGUAUUCUUUUGUUUAAAAGGCAAAAGCCAUUAUGUUUAGGCUUGCAAGAAAUGACAACAAUUCAGAAUAAAAGGAAAGCUUUAUCUCAUCAAAAAUCUAAAAAAGAGGUAUUUCUUACUGUAUUUUGACAACACAGUUUGCCAAUACAUACUGCUUUAUAUAUGCUUCAAGUCAUUUCAAAUGUUUCUUUUAUGUUUUAUAUGAUUCUCACACCAGUGACAAAUAUUGUAAUUAAAACUUAUAUUUCCUCCCAACAGAGAUUUAGGCUGAUGGUAUCCUAAGUCUGUAACCUAGAGAACCAGUAUUGAUGUAUUCAUUGAGCCUUCAAAGCACUUUUGUAUGUCGCUCUGGAUAAGAGCAUCUGCCAAAUGUCAGAAAUGUAAAUGUACCAAAAUAACAAAAACACGACAAUGCAAAUACAAUAAGCAGAAGCUCAAUUAAAUCUUUUUCAAUAACCACUUAAACCAUUUGGGGGAAUCUGAAGCCUAUCCCAGUAACACUGGGCACAAAAUGGGAAUAAAUAUUUUUACUGGCAAUUACUGUAGCCUGUCCAUCUACUGGCCGGUGUGAGAAAACCAGAGACACGGUUUAAAACUAUGUACUAUGGGUAGAACAUGCAAAACUCUACACCGAUAGUAACCUGAGCUCAGGAUCAAACCCUAGACCUGUAGCAACGAUAUUUUCACCUUUUUUUCACAAGGUACAGCAACUGAAGGUUCCUAAAAGUAGUUUUAGGACUUUUGCAGAACGUUAAUAUCACUGAAUAAGUUGAAUUUAGAUUGGAUUAGAUUAAGCAAUGUUUUAUAAUGCUCACCAAAUUAGUACACUCAAAUAAAGUUACACAUUGAGCCUGGUUACACAUAGAAAUAUGCCAUGACUAAAAAACGUUAUAGAGUGUAGGAAUGAACAAACCAAGGACAUAUACAUUUUUUGAUAAGGUUAACAUGAUCACCACAACCUACACUUCCCACAUUUUGUUAUGUGGAUGUGGCACAGUCAGUACCACAUGAAAAAUCCAGCAUAUUUGGAAAAAUAUUCAUGUCACAUUAAAAACUGGCCUUUUAGCCACUAAAAUGUUCCAGGUCAAACAUACUUGCAUAUUUGUAGGGGGGAGGUGCAUUAGCAGUGCUGAUAUGAAGUGACAGCAACCAAUACAUCAGUGAAAAACAAAUCUAUAAAAUCUAUAAAAACUCACCCAAAGGACACUUGAUAGUGCCUGUGCACUGCAUUCAGGUAUAAGAAAUAGUGGUGGCUUAGGACAUCAAAAUAAUUUAACGAAUAAUUACUAAUAUUCAGUGUAAAUGAAUAAUGGGCUGAUUGAUCUAUGGCAUGUCAUAUUAGCAAAAUUUUAAAUGAUACUCAAAUGUGAACAGGCUGCACUCAUGAUUUUUUGGGUCAGUUAGUUAUCAUCAUAAUAAUAGCAUUACAGACCAGAAGGGAAUUAUAUGCAUAAAAGUGUUUUAAAUCUUUCAGAAACUGUUUAGAUUUUUGGAUGCCUCCCCACUACACAAUUCAAACCCUAAACAAAAGUGAUACUGUACUUGCAUGUUCCUUAAUGAUGCCACAUAAAAUUCUCUCUCCUAGGACAUACAGUGGGGUCCAAAAGUCUUAGACCACUAGUAAAAAUGCUUCUAUUUCGCGUAAUGUUUUAUUUAAUUCAAUUAUUUUCAUGAUAUUGACAAGAACUGAAUAAGUGCUGAAUAAGAGUGAAAAGUAGAAUCUUAAAAAUAUUUACACAAAUUUCAGUUUCCCCUUUUUGCUUUAAUGACAGUGUGCAUUCGAACUAGCAGGGACCAUGUGCAAAAUUCGAUCAAAUCCAUGUUGUCUGAACACAUGCUUCAAUAGAAGACAUUAGACAUGAGGAAAAUCCUUUUGUUUAAAGCAGUUAACAUGCUUAAAUUUCACAAAUUUGCCUUACAUUUAAAUAGGAACCU